This is a long non-coding RNA of Equus quagga, 785 nucleotides long. RefSeq lists it as uncharacterized. The transcript has 3 exons. The record is from RefSeq and is a predicted model, not a curated record. NCBI's taxonomy places the organism in Eukaryota, Metazoa, Chordata, Mammalia, Perissodactyla, Equidae.
UCCCCGGCCCAGAUCGGCCCGGGAACGUGGGGGGAGGGCCUGGAGGCAGGGGCUGACCUGGGUCCCCACAGAUGCUGGCCCGGCCCCGCACUGCCACCCAGCACAGACGGCUGGGCCGGUGCCCCUCCCCGGCUCCACACUCCUCGACAGCCCCAAGCAAGCGUCUGCCCUGAGCUCCAGGCUGCGGGGCCACCUGAGUCCACGGGACAUCACUGCCUUGACGGAAGGGAGCCUGUAAGCCCAGACAGACGAAGACAGGGUGAUUCCCAGGAAAGCUGCCGGGAACUUUCACACACGUCUCUGUAAGAUGGGCUUCAUUGCCCCGGAUGAGCACCCCGCUGUAGGAAGACUGGAUCGCGAGGAUCAUUUGGCCAUUCUUUGCUCUUUGCAUCUCCAUAUAUGUCCUGGAUUCAGCCGGUUAAUCUAUACACGAAAGCCUGGUGGGGUUUUGUUUGGAAUUGCCCUGAACUCGCAGAGCAACCGGGGAGAACUCUCAGCUUAGCAACCGCGAGUCUUUGGAUCCACGCGUGUGGUCACGUCUGUGUCUCCGCUUCCCGAAGUCUCAGACUCCUCUCAGCAGCUUUUUGUUAUUCGUUUCCUUACAGAGGUCUCACACAUCUUUUGUUAAAUUGAUUUUUACAAUUUUGGAGCUUUGGGAUGGUAUUUUAAAUAGAAGUUCAAAUUUUAUUCUGUAAUCGUUUGUCACUGGCAUGUGCCCUGUCUGUUGUCCUCUGCCCUGGCUGACGUCCGUAUUAGUUGUAGCUGAUUUUUGGUAGAUUCCAUCA